GGGCUGCUCUGCUUCCUACGUUGUCUGUCAGACAUGUCAGGCACGCGCACGCAACCAUAGAUGAAGAUCCAUCCCUCAUCCCUAUUCUGCUCUGCUUCCUCGCUAUUCCAAACGACACCAUGGACACGCACACGCUUCUAUUAACGACUGAGCUUAAUGAUGGCCUCCCAAGUCAUGAUUUGGGGAAAAAUUAGGGGAGUCAUAAUGUUAAUUCCGAAAUUAAGAUCCUUCUUGGACAACCGGCUAUCUCAGUUAGGGCCUCUAUAAAAGAACACGAGCAACGUUUUUUAGAAACAUAUAUUGUCGCUUCAACAAAAUGUCAUCGUCAUAAGUGAUGCUAAAAAGUUGGUGCAAAGGUAUUAGAUUUUCAAGGGUUUUUAUUAGGUUAAUUUAGUUCACUAAUAAUUUUUUUGGAGUUUUUCUUAUUUAUAGAAAAAGAAGAGAAAGCUAUAAAGAAGGAAUUGAAUGAUUUACUUACAAUUGUUGUUGUUCAACCUAAGGUGCACGUUGCUGAUGUCAUUUGCAACGAUGUAAAGUUUGUUCAGGUAUACAAGCCCCUCUCUUGGGCAUGUGUAGUGGGGCAUUACGAUUAAGCCCCUCUCUUGGGCAUGAAGCGACAUGUGGCAUUAUGGGGGUGAAGUUCAAAAGUGGUGUAGUGGUUCCUUUUGAUCAUCAGGCGUAUUCAUAAACACGCCAUGGCCUCUUUGUUUUGAAUCAUGCCCAUGGGGGCGGUGUUUGCGGCGUGAAGUAGCAAGAUCACGCCACUUCACCUUUCCACUACACAUGGUCUAGCAUUUUUCUUGUUUUCUGUUGCAAAGGUCUGCAAGGUGGAUCCAAUUCCCGGAGAGACUAAAGUUUGGCAAUACAUUACCGCUUACAAAGAAGAUAUUCUUGAUGGAUUGCCCUGGUGUUGUUUAUGGCAGAAGUGAUACUGAAACUAUAUUGUUUUAAAGGGGGUGUGGAUGGAACUUUCUCAGUGAAGUCUGAUGUCUUCAAUUUUUGAGUCUUAAUCUUGGAUAUUGCAAGUGGAAGAAGAAAUACAAGCUUCUCUCAUCUUAACAAGACAAUCAAUCUUAUCGGAUAUGCAUGGGAGUGCAGCAUUAAUUUUCGAAUGCUUUUAGGCACGGGAGCUGUGGCAACAAGGGAAUGCAUUACAAUUGCAGGAUCCAACACCUGCUGAUACUUGUUGUACACCAGUUAUUGGGACUAUUCAGGUUGUACUACUUUGCGUACAAGAAAAUGCAAUUGACAGACCAGAAAUGUCAGACGUGAUCUAUGCUUCUUAAUGAUACUAUGUUGUUACCUCUCCCAAAGGGAUCGUCUUUUUUUUUUAGCAGAACUGUGUCUAAUUCAGCUUCAAUCGAAGGGAAGGUAGAUUGUGCCUUUGGAAACAACAUACCAUUACACAAAUGGAGGCUCGAUGGCACAUUAUCGAUAGCCCAUUUAAGAGUUGAUAUUAUUAUUGUUUGGAUGUCUUUAAGUUUUGUUAUGGGCACGGCUUGAGUAAUGAAGCGCACCAGUUCAUCUCAAUGCAUGACAACUCAAGUAAUGGAGGCCUCGAGUUCAUUUCUCGCCAUUAAGAGCACAAAGUUUGGUUGUUUACUUUUUUCCCUUGAUCAAUCAAAGUUCUCUUGAGAUAAGUGAAAGUUAAGUUUACUUUGCAGGUGUGUAGCAAUUUUUUUUGUUCAUCAUUUUUUAUCACUGAAGUUUUUGACUUCACGACUGAUGAAUAUGGUGGUAUUUCAAGAUUGCUACAACAUAUUUUAAUUGUUUCCUACUCUGUUCACUUCAAGGUUGAUGCAAGAAUCUCUAUAUAUUUAUCACAACUUCCAUUUGAGUU
Molecule: long non-coding RNA, 1840 nt
Filed under: Helianthus annuus (common sunflower)
Lineage: Eukaryota; Viridiplantae; Streptophyta; Magnoliopsida; Asterales; Asteraceae
Description: sRNA HanXRQr2_Chr13g0575131
Source: RNAcentral